CCUGAGAACACAAUAAAGGAAGAUGGCCCUGUGGGUGGUGAUGUCUGACACGUAGGAGCACGGUCAUACAUUGGCAUGAGUAAAUGUCAUCCAAUACUUUGCCAGAGGCGUCAGAAAGGAUCUCUUGAUGUAGAUAGGCGCCUCAGUCCUGUUUCUCUGAAAGUGCCCUUCAGGCACACAUAAAGUUCUCUCCACAUCAUCAUAGUCCACUCCUUCCACCAUAGAAAGUGCAUAUUAGCACUGCUCUCCUUCCCAGUCAGUGCCUAGAAAAAUGUUAAUAGUGUCAGCAUCAAAAGCAAUUCUCUUACCCGUCACGUAGCUAAAGUACGUCUCUUACUCUCUAUUGAGUCACCAACAUGUGUACCGGAUCGUACUGUUGAGAUUGCUAACAACACAAUAUCUAUCUCACUCUGGU
Molecule: long non-coding RNA, 415 nt
Filed under: Vigna radiata
Lineage: Eukaryota; Viridiplantae; Streptophyta; Magnoliopsida; Fabales; Fabaceae
Description: long non-coding RNA (VRAD_LNC012862)
Source: RNAcentral